This 271-nucleotide ribosomal RNA is filed under the name uncultured bacterium. RNAcentral describes it as "partial 16S ribosomal RNA". It matches the Rfam family "Bacterial small subunit ribosomal RNA", at positions 524 to 794 of the family's 1533-position model. The record is from RNAcentral.
UACGAAGGAUGCAAGCGUUAUCCGGAUUUAUUGGGUUUAAAGGGAGCGUAGGCGGUCUUAUAAGUCAGUGGUGGAAUCUCGUUGCUUAACAACGAACGUGCCAUUGAUACUGUAGGACUUGAGUACAGAUGCCGUUGGCGGAAUGUGUCAUGUAGCGGUGAAAUGCAUAGAUAUGACACAGAACACCGAUUGCGAAGGCAGCUGACGAAACUGUAACUGACGCUGAGGCUCGAAAGCGUGGGGAUCAAACAGGAUUAGAAACCCUGGUAGU